UAUAAAUGAAGUAGAAGACCACGUACAUCUGAGUGGUCACCAAGCACCGUCGCCAUGUGAGCACAGCAGUCUGAAGUGGGGCAGCAAGCGCACAUGAAAGGACUAAUCUGAGCUGGGGUACUAACUGGGGUGAGGACAGUGCUAGUGGGAGAAAAGCCUGACUGAGCCAAGGAAGGCCCAAGGUCAGCAGGGAGGCUGGUG
Long non-coding RNA from Lutra lutra (Eurasian river otter), 201 nucleotides. RefSeq lists it as uncharacterized. The record is from RefSeq and is a predicted model, not a curated record. The transcript has 3 exons. Lineage: Eukaryota; Metazoa; Chordata; Mammalia; Carnivora; Mustelidae.